This 2169-nucleotide long non-coding RNA is filed under the name Homo sapiens (human). RNAcentral's name for it is "NEMP2 divergent transcript, transcript variant 6 (NEMP2-DT)". The record is from RNAcentral. Lineage: Eukaryota; Metazoa; Chordata; Mammalia; Primates; Hominidae.
GCGGCCUCGGGGCACGGCGGGCCCAGGCCGGAGGAGCUUUCGGUGGCGCGACCCCGCUGGCAUGCUCCCGGCCUCGGCCUCGGCCUCGGCCUUGGCCUCCGGGCCUCCAGCGCACGCGGGGCGUCCAGGGCCUCAUCUUCCCCUGGGGACCGCCCGGCCGUGUCCCGCUGCCCUCGGCGCAGGGGUGGGAGUUGCAGAGAGGAAGAGUCGCUAACCCGGAGUGUUUCUUAAAACUUGGCUGACCUGUGACCUGCGGAUUUGGAGGCUGAAUUCUCCGAGCACCUGUGCGGUGUGCACUUGCUUCUUGCAAGACAGCUUUUGUACCUAACCACAUUCAUUUUGAUUUGGUUUAAUUUUGGAUGGCACUAUGGAAAGUAGCUAAAAUAAACAGGAAGCUACUGCAGGAUAUAAUCUAAGAAAAUAAGGGGAAGAAAACAAGAAAGAGGAAGACAUUGGAUCCAAGAAAUGGGGGAUCUAUCACCUUACAGAUGAAAAGAGAAUCUACAUGAUCUUUGUGAAGGUGAUUUGAGCAUAGCAGCUCUGCAGGAAACCUGGAGAGCAACAAGUGAGAUUAAUACAGGACACACAGCUCUAGUAAGGAUGUCACUAAGGAAAUUAAAAUCAUUUGUUGUAGAAUACUUUAUGAAUCAAUGCAGUAAGAGGAGGUUUACACUUCUGGUGAAGAAUAGGGAAUGAAUUUGUGAUAGGCAUGUAGAAAAUUAUGCAAACAAAUAAAAUAAUAAUCAACUCCUGGGAAAAUAGGAAUUUGUACCAAAAGUGUCAAUAUAAUCUUAUAUAUAUAUGCCUCAGUUUUGAAUAAUAUUUGUCAUUUUAAUUAUGUAAAAACUGAAUAAUUAUCGGCCGGGCACAGUGGCUUACGCUUGUAAUCCCAGCACUUUGGGAAGCUGAGGCAGGUGGAUCACCUGAGGUUAGGAGUUCGAGACCAGCCUGACCAACAUGGAGAAACCCCGUCUCUACUAAAAAUACAAAAUUAGCUGGGCGUGGUGGCGCAUGCCUGUAAUCCCAGCUACUCUGGAGGCUGGGGCAGGAGAAUCGCUUGAACCCAGAAGGCGGAGGUUGCUGUGAGCCGAGAUUGCGCCAUUGCACUCCAACCUGAGCAACAAGAGCAAAACUCCAUCUCAAAACAAAACAAAACAAAACAACAAAAAACUCAAUAAUUAUCAGAGAAAAACACUGUAAUAUAACUAUAUUGAAAGAAUAAGAAGAGAAUGUAAGAGACUAAAUCCGUAUCUCCCACAGAAGGGAGUCAUAGAUAAUAAUAUCUGGAACUGAAAAAAAAAUCAAGAAACAGCAGUUUAAAAUGUGGAGAUAAACACCAAAAGAAACAGCUGAGGCCAGGUGUGGUGGCUCACACUGAAAGACUUGAGCAAGUUUGCUUUUGGGAAUGGAAAUGGAAUUAGAACAUGCAGGUUGUACAGGGAAAAGGGCUGCUCUUUGUCUUUUAGACUUUGAGGAGCUAUUUGGCUUUUAAAGCUCUGUGCAUUUAUAACUUAGAUGGAAAAUAUAAACAAUUUUAGAAAGAAAAAUGACAAUAUAUGUAUUUUUGAGAUAUGGAGGCAAACAUUCUAAACGCUAAAAAGAGAAAAGCUUGAGAGUGGUUUCUUUUGGGGAGCAGGACAGGAGUUGAUUUUCACUGUAAUUAUUACUAAGCCAUUGAUUUUAUAGAGUUGUGAGGCCAUUACCUUGAGACAAAUUUUAAAUAAAAAAAGGAAAGUCCAGGAAGGAAUUCAGGCAUGAGGACAUUUAAGAACUUUGAAUUUUAGCUUUGUUGCUUGUAGUUUCCCAAUUUUAAAAAUCUUUAACAUCUUCCAUACCAGGAGAUAAGCAGUAAAUGAGAGAACACAUUUGGAAGCUCUUGGUAGACUGAAAAUAACUAAGGGAGGUUCCCUUCUUUCCUCUUACAGAUAAAACUUGGUUUUCAAUAGUAUAAACUCAAUCUUUGAAAAACCCACCUCUUUUCCUAGACUCACAAGGGUGCUUCCAUGACAUCUUGGAUAUAAAAGGAAUACUUAGUGUACAUGUGAAUAAUUAAGUCAUUUUUUAAAAUGCCCUAUGUGAAAUAAGAAAUUACCUCUGUGUAAUUCAACUAGUCUUGCAAUGAGACCCUUUCUCCAACAAUAAAGUGCAAUAAAUAAUUUACUCACAUGA